AUUGAACGCUGGCGGCAUGCCUUACACAUGCAAGUCGAACGGUAGCGGGCCUUCGGGUGCCGACGAGUGGCGAACGGGUGAGUAAUACAUCGGAACGUGCCCGAUCGUGGGGGAUAACGAGGCGAAAGCUUUGCUAAUACCGCAUACGAUCUACGGAUGAAAGCAGGGGACCGCAAGGCCUUGCGCGGACGGAGCGGACGAUGGCAGAUUAGGUAGUUGGUGGGAGAAAAGCUUACCAAGCCGACGAUCUGUAGCUGGUCUGAGAGGAUGAUCAGCCACACUGGUGCUGAGACACGGCCCAGACUCCUACGGGAGGCAGCAGUGGGGAAUUUUGGACAAUGGGCGCAAGCCUGAUCCAGCCAUGCCGCGUGCAGGAUGAAGGCCUUCGGGUUGUAAACUGCUUUUGUACGGAACGAAAAGCCUUCUUUUAAUACAGGAGGGUCAUGACGGUACCGUAAGAAUAAGCACCGGCUAACUACGUG
This 482-nucleotide ribosomal RNA is filed under the name uncultured bacterium. Its description in RNAcentral is "partial 16S ribosomal RNA". It matches the Rfam family "Bacterial small subunit ribosomal RNA", at positions 30 to 507 of the family's 1533-position model. The record is from RNAcentral.